RNAcentral lists this ribosomal RNA (467 nucleotides) under uncultured bacterium. RNAcentral describes it as "partial 16S ribosomal RNA". It matches the Rfam family "Bacterial small subunit ribosomal RNA", at positions 28 to 507 of the family's 1533-position model. The record is from RNAcentral.
GAUGAACGCUGACAGAAUGCUUAACACAUGCAAGUCAACUUGAAUUUGGGUUUUUAACUUAGGUUUGGGUGGCGGACGGGUGAGUAACGCGUAAAGAACUUGCCUCACAGCUAGGGACAACAUUUGGAAACGAAUGCUAAUACCGAAUAUUAUGAUAAUAGGGCAUCCUAUAAUUAUGAAAGCUAUAAGCGCUGUGAGAGAGCUUUGCGUCCCAUUAGCUAGUUGGAGAGGUAACGGCUCACCAAGGCGAUGAUGGGUAGCCGGCCUGAGAGGGUGAUCGGCCACAAGGGGACUGAGACACGGCCCUUACUCCGACGGGAGGCAGCAGUGGGUAAUAUUGGACAAUGGACCGAGAGUCUGAUCCAGCAAUUCUGUGUGCACGAUGAAGUUUUUCGGAAUGUAAAGUGCUUUCAGUUGGGAAGAAACAAAUGACGGUACCAACAGAAGAAGUGACGGCUAAAUACGUG